RNAcentral lists this ribosomal RNA (440 nucleotides) under uncultured bacterium. RNAcentral describes it as "partial 16S ribosomal RNA". It matches the Rfam family "Bacterial small subunit ribosomal RNA", at positions 338 to 795 of the family's 1533-position model. The record is from RNAcentral.
CCUACGGGAGGCAGCAGUGGGGGAUAUUGCACAAUGGAGGGAACCCUGAUGCAGCGACGCCGCGUGGGUGAAGAAGCGCCUCGGCGCGUAAAGCCCUGUCAGCAGGGAAGAAAAUGACGGUACCUGGAGAAGAAGCCCCGGCUAACUACGGACCAGCAGCCGCGGUAAUAAGUAGGGGGCAAGCGUUAUCCGGAUUUACUGGGUGUAAAGGGGGCGCAGACGGAGAAGCAAGCCAGGAGUGAAAGCCCGGGGCCCAACCCCGGGACUGCGCUUGGAACUGCGUGGCUGGAGUGCAGGAGGGGCAGGCGGAAUUCCUGGUGUAGCGGUGAAAUGCGUAGAUAUUAGGAGGAACACCAGUGGCGAAGGCGGCCUGCUGGACUGCAACUGACGUUGAGGCCCGAAAGCGUGGGGAGCAAACAGGAUUAGAUACCCUUGUAGUC